CGUAUGUGUACAUCAAACGCUGAUAAGGCACCGGGUUUGCUUGUGAGUGACAAUUUACAACUAUUAUACCAACAUGCUGCUGUGUGCGAUGACCGUAUAUGUGAACAUCAAUCGCUGAUAAGGCACCGGUAUCAUUAAUACACAGCAGCUCAAAAAAAGGAAAAACGAUAAGUAAAUCAAAAAUUCGACAUAUCAAAGUGCUGUGUGUGGCGAUCGUGUGUGUGUCGGGGAGCACUUGGUGCACGAGAGAGUACGAGUAUGCUUUUUGGGUAUUUCAUCGGAAUAGUUAUUUCAUCACUAUGCUAAUAUUGCAUCAGCCUAUAGCUUAAUUGCGAUUGGUUGUAGUUUUGCAUUUCUGAAAACAACCGUUAUGUCGCGGCGACAACUGAAGAAGGAGAAUACUAAGGAAAUAGAUCAGUCGAACAUUAGACUUCGUUGUGACCAAAACUCUCUGCGUUAGAACAAAAAAAAAAAAAAUAACAACGUGCCCUCAAAUAUCACUGAUUCGCCAAUGUGUACAUCAAUCGCCGACAACGCAAAGGGACAAUCCGCACACAGUGGUUUACAAGUUGUUUGAAGUCGAUAAAACAACAACAAAGGUGGAAGGAAACAUACAACUUUCACUAAACACAGGGAAGCAAGGAAAAGAGGGAACUGCGUAUCGGAUACACACUACAGCCAGAUUUCUUAUCAAUACAUGUAACAAAAAAACACCAUUAGUAACACAUGCUAGUUCAAUUCCAAAACAAUAUUCCCACCAACGCUAUGGAUUUCGGUAACGCAUCAGGCCACUAAGUCCCACCCUUAGCAAUUUAUCGACUUCCACAAACACAAGCCUGAAUCUACAACAACUACUAGCCCUUGUUCAUCAACUACCCACAUACGAAGGCCCACCUGACAACCUUGAUAGAUUCGUUAGUAGAGUAGAACAACUACUUUUGUUAGCCGGAUCAGUGGGCCAAGCAACUUGCGGACAGUACUUACUGAGAGCUAUCCGUGACAAAAUUAAAGGCAGGGUGGACGAGGCGCUGUGUGUCUGAGAUGUACUCCUCAGUUGGGAUGACAUCAAAACAAACCUCAAGCGGCUACACUCUAAUAAACCAUUCACGUUGACCACAGACGCAAGUAACUAUGCGAUAGGCUCUGUGUUGUCACAAGGCCCGACACUAAUGACAGACCCAUAUCUUUCGCUAGCAGGAUACUAUCGGAUACGGAAAUCCGCUAUUCUACGAUAGAGAAAGAAAUGCUAGCUAUUAUUUGGUCUGUACGUCAUUUCAGACCAUACCUUUUCGGGCGUAGAUUCAAAAUAGUCACGGACCAUAAGCCAUUAAUCUGGUUAGAAAAUCUGAAAGGCCAGAAUCCAAAACUACUUCGAUGGAAGUAAAAAACACCUGGCAAAAACACAAGAACUCCUUCUUUGACGAACUUGGGGAAGACAGAAAUAAUAUUUCUUCAUUUAAGUUAACACAGGAGUUAACACACCCCUUUCCACAGCCACAGAGAGAGAACGCAGACCCGGCAACUGCAAGACCAGCGUCGAUGGACAACAACAAGAUCGCCAACGCAAGAACUUUGACGAAUACCCAUUACUCUUGUUCACUCAUACAUAUACCCGUUCACACUUCUUUAUAAAAAAAGAUCAUUCUUAUUUUGUACUCCAAGCAACACAGUCACUUUAUUUGCAAGCCUUCCUUUCAACAUUUUAAAAAGCGAUAAUCUCAUACGAGAUCUCCUCUACUCCCUCGGACACGAGACUGUAACUCGCGUGACUGAACUUAGCAUUUUAUUAGCUACUUCAGUAUUAUUUUGUAUUUGUCACUUUAAGUUUUAACUCAUAUAUUGCCUUUUUUCGUCACCAAAAUUGGUAUCAGAUAUUUUGGUUAUAUUACCUUGUCAAG
Molecule: long non-coding RNA, 1898 nt
Organism: Drosophila ananassae
Lineage: Eukaryota; Metazoa; Arthropoda; Insecta; Diptera; Drosophilidae
Exons: 3
Source: RefSeq, a predicted model, not a curated record